UACGUAGGGCGCAAGCGUUGUCCGGAAUUAUUGGGCGUAAAGAGCUCGUAGGCGGCUUGUCACGUCGGGUGUGAAAGCCCGGGGCUUAACCCCGGGUCUGCAUUCGAUACGGGCUAGCUAGAGUGUGGUAGGGGAGAUCGGAAUUCCUGGUGUAGCGGUGAAAUGCGCAGAUAUCAGGAGGAACACCGGUGGCGAAGGCGGAUCUCUGGGCCAUUACUGACGCUGAGGAGCGAAAGCGUGGGGAGCGAACAGGAUUAGAAACCCUGUAGUCC
RNAcentral lists this ribosomal RNA (272 nucleotides) under uncultured prokaryote. RNAcentral describes it as "partial 16S ribosomal RNA". It matches the Rfam family "Bacterial small subunit ribosomal RNA", at positions 524 to 796 of the family's 1533-position model. The record is from RNAcentral.